CUGCUGCCUUCCGUAGGAGUUUGGGCCGUGUCUCAGUCCCAAUGUGGCCGUCCACCCUCUCAGGCCGGCUACUGAUCGCCGCCUUGGUGGGCCGUUACCCCGCCAACAAGCUAAUCAGACGCGGGUCCAUCUUACACCACCGGAGUUUUUCACACAAAUCCAUGCGGCUUCGUGCGCUUAUGCGGUAUUAGCACCUAUUUCUAAGUGUUAUCCCCCAGUGUAAGGCAGGUUACCCACGCGUUACUCACCCGUCCGCCACUAAGA
Molecule: ribosomal RNA, 264 nt
Filed under: uncultured bacterium
Lineage: Bacteria
Description: partial 16S ribosomal RNA
Source: RNAcentral